GAGAGUUUGAUUCUGGCUCAGGACGAACGCUGGCGGCGUGCCUAAUACAUGCAAGUCGAACGCUUCUUUCUUAUCGAACUUCGGUUCACCAAGAAAGAAGAGUGGCGGACGGGUGAGUAACACGUGGGUAACCUGCCCUUUAGCGGGGGAUAACACUUGGAAACAGGUGCUAAUACCGCAUAAUCUUUUUUCUCGCAUGAGUAAAAAGUGAAAGACGCUUUUGCGUCACUAAAGGAUGGACCCGCGCUGCAUUAGCUAGUUGGUGAGGUAACGGCUCACCAAGGCCACGAUGCAUAGCCGACCUGAGAGGGUGAUCGGCCACACUGGGACUGAGACACGGCCCAGACUCCUACGGGAGGCAGCAGUAGGGAAUCUUCGGCAAUGGACGAAAGUCUGACCGAGCAACGCCGCGUGAGUGAAGAAGGUUUUCGGAUCGUAAAACUCUGUUGUUAGAGAAGAAUAAGGAUGAGAGUAGAAUGUUCAUCCCUUGACGGUAUCUAACCAGAAAGCCACGGCU
Molecule: ribosomal RNA, 517 nt
Filed under: swine manure pit bacterium PPC45
Lineage: Bacteria
Description: bacterial SSU rRNA
Rfam family: Bacterial small subunit ribosomal RNA
Source: RNAcentral